GAUGAACGCUGGCGGCGUGCCUAAUACAUGCAAGUCGAGCGAACAGACGAGGAGCUUGCUCCUCUGACGUUAGCGGCGGACGGGUGAGUAACACGUGGAUAACCUACCUAUAAGACUGGGAUAACUUCGGGAAACCGGAGCUAAUACCGGAUAAUAUAUUGAACCGCAUGGUUCAAUAGUGAAAGACGGUUUUGCUGUCACUUAUAGAUGGAUCCCCGCCGCAUUAGAUAGUUGGUAAGGUAACGGCUUACCAAGGCGACGAUGCGUAGCCGACCUGAGAGGGUGAUCGGCCACACUGGAACUGGGACACGGUCCAGACUCCUACGGGAGGCAGCAGUAGCGAAUCUUCCGCAAUGGGCGAAAGCCUGACGGAGCAACGCCGCGUGAGUGAUGAAGGUCUUCGGAUCGUAAAACUCUGUUAUUAGGGAAGAACAAAUGUGUAAGUAACUAUGCACGUCUUGACGGUACCUAAUCAGAAAGCCACGGCUAACUACGUG
Molecule: ribosomal RNA, 497 nt
Filed under: uncultured bacterium
Lineage: Bacteria
Description: partial 16S ribosomal RNA
Rfam family: Bacterial small subunit ribosomal RNA
Source: RNAcentral